RNAcentral lists this unclassified non-coding RNA (296 nucleotides) under Hevea brasiliensis (rubber tree). Lineage: Eukaryota; Viridiplantae; Streptophyta; Magnoliopsida; Malpighiales; Euphorbiaceae. The record is from RNAcentral.
CGCGCCAGCACAACCCUAUCAGUCUCCUUUCUAAACACAGAAUAUCGCGUUGCAGGUCUUCGAUUCCAAUCUGAGACUCUGGAGGUACUCAAUCCCCUAGAAUUAUCAGACUUCUGCCAAGAAGACCCAGAAAAAUCCUCCAUGAUCAUCCCCCUAGAGGUGCAAAGCAUCCAAGAAAUGGAGGGAUUCUCCAGCUCCUACCACAGUCCCUCAUCUUUACUGUUACCAUCUUCAAUCAAAACCUCAUUUUCAUGGACAACCAAAAAGAACCCAACUUCUCAUCAAUCCAAAGCCCA